CGGAAUGUUUUCAACAAGAUGCCUUGCAAGAAUGUCAUCUCCUGGAAUGCCUUGAUUGCUGGAUAUGGUAAUCAUGGUCGGGGAGAUGAUGCAAUUGAGUUGUUUGAGCUGAUGCUUCGACAAAGGAUGAGACCAAACCAUGUCACUUUUCUUGCUGUUUUAUCUGCUUGUAGCUAUUCUGGUUUAUCAGAGCAUGGGUGGGAAAUUUUUCAAGCUAUGGGUAGAGAUUACACGGUAAAGCCACGGGCAAUGCACUACGCAUGUAUGAUCGAAUUAUUAGGUAGAGAGGGGCUCUUAGAUGAAGCUUUUGCAUUGAUAAGAGGUGCUCCUUUCAAGCCUACAGCAAAUAUGUGGGCUGCACUAUUGACAGCUUGUCGUGUCCAUCAGAACUUAGAGCUUGGAAAAUUUGCAGCUGAGAAACUUUAUGGAAUGGAACCAGAGAAGCUUAAUAAUUACAUUGUGCUUUUGAAUAUAUACAACAGUUCUGGCAAGUUAAAGGAGGCUGC
Molecule: unclassified non-coding RNA, 506 nt
Filed under: Hevea brasiliensis (rubber tree)
Lineage: Eukaryota; Viridiplantae; Streptophyta; Magnoliopsida; Malpighiales; Euphorbiaceae
Source: RNAcentral